GGCUACACACGUGCUACAAUGGGUAGAACAGAGAGUCGCAAAGCUGUGAAGUGGAGCUAAUCUCAGAAAACUAUUCUUAGUUCGGAUUGUACUCUGCAACUCGAGUACAUGAGGUUGGAAUCGCUAGUAAUCGCGAAUCAGCAAUGUCGCGGUGAAUACGUUCUCGGGUCUUGUACACACCGCCCGUCACACCACGAGAGUUGGUUGCACCUGAAGUAGCAGGCCUAACCGUAAGGAGGGAUGCUCCGAGGGUGUGAUUAGCGAUUGGGGUGAAGUCGUAACAAGGUAUCCGUACGGGAACGU
Molecule: ribosomal RNA, 303 nt
Filed under: uncultured Fusobacterium sp.
Lineage: Bacteria; Fusobacteriati; Fusobacteriota; Fusobacteriia; Fusobacteriales; Fusobacteriaceae
Description: bacterial SSU rRNA
Rfam family: Bacterial small subunit ribosomal RNA
Source: RNAcentral